GACGAACCGUGCGAACGUUAUUCGGAAUCACUGGGCUUAAAGGGCGCGUAGGCGGGUCUGAAAGUCAGGGGUGAAAGCCCCCAGCUCAACUGGGGAAGUGCCUCUGAUACUUCAGGUCUCGAGGGAGGUAGGGGCGUGCGGAACUUCCGGUGGAGCGGUGAAAUGCGUAGAUAUCGGAAGGAACGUCGGUGGCGAAAGCGGCGCGCUGGACCUCUUCUGACGCUGAGGCGCGAAAGCCAGGGGAGCGAACGGG
Molecule: ribosomal RNA, 253 nt
Filed under: uncultured bacterium
Lineage: Bacteria
Description: partial 16S ribosomal RNA
Rfam family: Bacterial small subunit ribosomal RNA
Source: RNAcentral